RNAcentral lists this ribosomal RNA (117 nucleotides) under Pseudorhombus pentophthalmus (fivespot flounder). Its description in RNAcentral is "partial 16S rRNA". Lineage: Eukaryota; Metazoa; Chordata; Actinopteri; Pleuronectiformes; Paralichthyidae. The record is from RNAcentral.
UGCUUAUUAGCUAGCCCAACCCCCACAAUUCAACCAACAAAUAUAACUUAAACAGGAAGGCACCAAACAGAUAUUUAAUCAAACCAUUUUUCCCCCUAAGUCUAGGCGAUAAAAAAG